RNAcentral lists this ribosomal RNA (450 nucleotides) under uncultured bacterium. Its description in RNAcentral is "partial 16S ribosomal RNA". It matches the Rfam family "Bacterial small subunit ribosomal RNA", at positions 354 to 796 of the family's 1533-position model. The record is from RNAcentral.
GUGGGGAAUUUUGGACAAUGGGCGCAAGCCUGAUCCAGCAAUGCCGCGUGCAGGAAGAAGGCCUUCGGGUUGUAAACUGCUUUUGUACGGAACGAAACGGUCCGGGUUAAUACCCUGGGCUAAUGACGGUACCGUAAGAAUAAGCACCGGCUAACUACGUGCCAGCAGCCGCGGUAAGACGUAGGGUGCAAGCGUUAAUCGGAAUUACUGGGCGUAAAGCGUGCGCAGGCGGUUUUGUAAGACAGGUGUGAAAUCCCCGGGCUCAACCUGGGAACUGCAUUUGUGACUGCAUGGCUAGAGUGCGUCAGAGGGAGGUGGAAUUCCGCGUGUAGCAGUGAAAUGCGUAGAUAUGCGGAGGAACACCGAUGGCGAAGGCAAUCCCCUGGACCUGUACUGACGCUCAUGCACGAAAGCGUGGGGAGCAAACAGGAUUAGAAACCCUGGUAGUCC